UGCAGCCGGGCACCGGGCACCAGGCUGGCCUGCCACUCUGCAUCUCCAACCCCUUCCUACACCUAGUCGAGCAGAUGACUAAGCUCUUUCCAGUGUGAGAGGUUAACAUGUGCCAUUUCUAGCCUGGGGCCCGAAGAUCAGGCUGCUCCUCCUCCAUGCUUUCUCUUUCCGCCUCCCAAGAGGCUGAAAUCACAGGACCACCAUGACUCCAGAAGCUCCACGUGGAAAGUAGCAGAGCCACCAUUAGCCUAUGUCCCUGGAUGGCUGGGUGGAGCCAGGCUAUCCACAGACCUGGAACAUCCACCCUAGACUAUUAAGUAGGAGGAAUUUCUAACUAUGCAACUCAUUGCAAAUUUUAAGCUUUCUAUCCUCACCUACACAGUCUCAGAGAAUUGCUAAUAAAGAUGCAAGAGUAUCGGUAACAAUACUACACAUAAUGUUCUCAAUGGACCCAUCGUGGAGUGUCCAGUUCAUCUGGCCGGUCAACCAAGUGAGUCCACUGGACCCAGGAUACCCCUGUACAAAUACCACCACUACCUCAGUUGAUCUUGGACUUGUAAGCAUGGGGAAGGGCAGGAGUAGGCGCCAUUCUCCUCGGGAUUCCCUAAUCAAAACUCACUGGUAAAUACUGUGUAAAGGUCAUGUGCUAUAACUGGAAGUGUUGUGUGGGAUGGAAACAACAACAACAACAACAACAACCGGUUCUGCUGAGAGGAGCUCUUGUCUUUCCUGGUGUCCAAGAGGCAGCUGCACUAGCUAAACCUCCAGCAGUCAUCUUGCACUAUGACCUCCAGGGCAAAAGUCACCAACUGGAGACAGUGAAGCAGAAAUAAAGAUGCAGGCUAAGUUCCUGAAGAUUUGGAUGGAGGCUCUGAAUGGACUGCCUGUCUCUGGGACUUCUUGGAGGUAAAAAUAAGCUAGUGUUUAAACCACUAUUUUGAGGCAGGGGGGCUCUUUUAGAGUCAAAUGGAAUUCCUAAACGAUACAGUCACACAGGUAAUAAGGAGGAGUCAGGAUUUGAAAGCCUUCAUCCUGAUUCCAAUUUUUAUCCUCCUAACAAAAGGGCUAGAUGGAUCAGGAGAGGUUGAGGCUACAAGUGCAGACUGUCAAUUAUGGGUGCACGCACAUCUCGACAGUUCCGUUACUUCGGCUAAGACAAAAAAGGCAAAAUACUCAGCAUCAUUGUAAAAUGAAAGUUCUAUCAUUAGGUAAAUAAUCUGAUGAUAGGGAAUUAACACCUUACCAGUUUCAGAGAAUUAAAAUAAAUAAUUCUAACAUCCC
This is a long non-coding RNA of Prionailurus viverrinus (fishing cat), 1281 nucleotides long. RefSeq lists it as uncharacterized. The record is from RefSeq and is a predicted model, not a curated record. The transcript is spliced from 2 exons. NCBI's taxonomy places the organism in Eukaryota, Metazoa, Chordata, Mammalia, Carnivora, Felidae.